RNAcentral lists this ribosomal RNA (207 nucleotides) under Ramichloridium sp. RNAcentral describes it as "partial large subunit ribosomal RNA". Lineage: Eukaryota; Fungi; Ascomycota; Dothideomycetes; Mycosphaerellales; Dissoconiaceae. The record is from RNAcentral.
AAGCGCUUGCAACCAGACUUGUUGGCGGUGUUCCACCGGUCUUCUGACCGGUCUACUCGCCGCCCGCAGGCCAGCGUCGUCUGGGACCGCCGGACAAAGGUCGUGGGAAUGUAGCUCCUCGGAGUGUUAUAGCCCGCGACACAAUACGGCGCGCCCCGGGCGAGGUCCGCGCUCCGGCAAGGACGCUGGCGUAAUGGUCGUAAGCGG